UCAAGAAACUUCCACAAUGGGCGAAAGCCUGAUGGAGCGACGUCGCGUGAUGGACGAAGUGCUUCGGCACGUAAACAUCUUUUUAUGUGGGAUGAAAUUAUUGACAGUACCACAUGAAUAAGGGGCUCCUAACUCUGUGCCAGCAGGAGCGGUAAUACAGAGGCCGCAAGCGUUAUCCGGAAUCACUGGGCGUAAAGGGUGUCGAGGCGGUUGUAUUAGUCGUUCGUAAAAUCUACGAGCUUAACUUGUAGGCGGCGAACGAAACGGUACGACUUGAGGUUUGGAGAGGUGCGUGGAACUCACGGUGUAGGGGUGAAAUCCGUUGAUAUCGUGGGGAACACCAAAGGCGAAGGCAGCGCACUGGCCAAAAUCUGACGCUCACACACGAAAGCUAGGGUAGCGAAGAGGAUUAGAUACCCUAGUAGUCCCUGAGCGGGCUGGCAAGGCGCAU
This 451-nucleotide ribosomal RNA is filed under the name uncultured bacterium. Its description in RNAcentral is "bacterial SSU rRNA". It matches the Rfam family "Bacterial small subunit ribosomal RNA", at positions 355 to 825 of the family's 1533-position model. The record is from RNAcentral.